AAUAAUAGGACAGAUGCUUAUCUUGUUAGUGUUAUGACACCUCUAGGAAUUGG
Caenorhabditis elegans is the source of this 53-nucleotide non-coding RNA. The record is from Ensembl. NCBI's taxonomy places the organism in Eukaryota, Metazoa, Nematoda, Chromadorea, Rhabditida, Rhabditidae.